GCACCAGCGGUCUAGUGUUAGAAUAGUACCCUGCCACGGUAUUGACCUGGGUUCGAUUCUUGGUUGGUACA
This 71-nucleotide transfer RNA is filed under the name Capsicum annuum. It matches the Rfam family "tRNA". From Rfam's summary of the family: Transfer RNA (tRNA) molecules are approximately 80 nucleotides in length. Lineage: Eukaryota; Viridiplantae; Streptophyta; Magnoliopsida; Solanales; Solanaceae. The record is from Rfam by way of RNAcentral.